RNAcentral lists this unclassified non-coding RNA (240 nucleotides) under soil metagenome. RNAcentral describes it as "partial contains 5.8S ribosomal RNA, internal transcribed spacer 2, and large subunit ribosomal RNA". The record is from RNAcentral.
AACACUGUUAACCUGCGGUACCUGCGGAAGGAUCAUUACAGAGUGUUUAACCCCCUAUAAAAUGGUGGGUCUAACCUCCCGUCCUUUGCUGGGUCCCCCUUCUGGAGGACUUUCAGAACUUUCUGCUUCGGCGGGGUAUACCCGCCGGAACACCCUCAAAAAAUUCUUGAUCAAAAUGGUUCGGUCCGAGAAACUUUUUGUGAAAAUUAGCGAAAAACUUUCAACAAUGGAUCUCAGAUC